RNAcentral lists this small RNA (102 nucleotides) under Marmota monax (woodchuck). The record is from RNAcentral. Lineage: Eukaryota; Metazoa; Chordata; Mammalia; Rodentia; Sciuridae.
UCUGGGUGUGGUGGUGCACACCUGUAAUCCCAGCUACUUGAGAGGCUGAGGCAGGAGGUUUGCUGAGAUGAGCCUCAGCAACUUAUUUAAACCCUGUAUCAA